This 1464-nucleotide long non-coding RNA is filed under the name Homo sapiens (human). RNAcentral describes it as "HSALNT0180925". The record is from RNAcentral. Lineage: Eukaryota; Metazoa; Chordata; Mammalia; Primates; Hominidae.
GGCAGUUGGAAGGAGUUGGUUAGCAAGAAAAAGUUGGAAGUAGGGCCCCAAAGAGCCGCCAAACCUACAUAAUUCUAGAUUUAGAGAAAGUUAGGCAUUCGAUCUUAAGACUAAGUCUAGCCCACUCACUUUAGUUAGUGGCUGGGAUGAGACAGGAAGCUCCUGACUUCUGGAUCAGUCUUCUGUCAUCUAAUCCAUGCUGAGUCCCCUCAGUAUUGUCUGCUGGGAUGAUUCAGGGAGCAAAACUUGCUAUGAGUAUACAAACAGCAAGCGCACAAAAUCAGAUUCGCCUGGCUUGCCCUGUUUGCAAUACUUUUUUUAGCUUAUCUUUUGUGAACAAACUUUAGAUUCAAAUAACAAAACGCCUGAGUAUACUUACUUUUAUAGGACAAAUAACUCCUAUACUUCCUGCCUUAGCAUUUACCUUAGGUGAGACAGUAGCUUUUCCAGGAAAUAUCUGCAAAUCACUUUCACUAGCCUGCCUCUUCAGUGAGUUUCCACUAUUGCCCUUUGAGACCUCUCCGAACAAUUAAAAGCCCCCAAGAGACUCAAGGGUUAAACUCAAGGGCCUUUAGAUAGCAAAUUCCUCAAGGAUGGGAACCAGGUGUGUGACUUGCGACCAAAUAGGUUCUUGUGGUUCUUAGGGACCACCAAAAGAUCACUCCUUACCUCUCCCUAGGGUGCAAGAAUUAUCCUGGUUAUUGUUCAGCCUACCACAUCAGGUUGCAGGCAUAGUCAAAGUAUUACGUAAUACUUCCCAUGAAGUAGGUAAGAAAAAAAAGUAUUAUGUAAAUUCCUACAUAGUACACUAAUCAAAUGAAAUUAUAUAACACACUUUUGCAACUGAAAGUGAAGGAUUCACUGUUGUUGGUCAGGUGCCAGACACUGGUGUGAAAUUCUUUUACAUGACUGUCUCUUUUAAUGGUUACAAAAACCCUCUGGGAUAAAUACUAUUAUUGACCCUUUAAAAAAAAUCGAUGAAUAAGACAGCUUAAAAAGAGGUAAGUAAUUUCCCCAAUGUAACAAAACUAGGAAGUGGCAGAGCAGUGACCAAACCCAAAUAUAUGUUUGACUCCAAAAGCCUUGAUUUUAUCCUAUCUUCUGCAACAGCAAACAGACCAAAAAUUGCAACAUUUUAGUUGGGUAUCCUAUUAGUAAAUAUUUAAGUGAAAGAUAACAGUCAAGGCUGGUGAGAUAAAAAGGGUACUCUCAGACAUGGUGAGUGGGAGUGUAAACUGAAAUAAUCUCUUUAUAAAGCUAUUUGGCACUGUGAUUCAACCCCUAAGAACUUUCAUGGCAGGGCAUGGUGGCUCAUGCCUGUAAUCCCCGCACUUCCUGGGAGGCUGAGGCGGGCAGAGCAUGAGGUCAGGAGACCGAGACUAUCCUGGCCAACAUGGUGAAACCCCGUCUCUACUGAAAAUACAAACCUCAGCUGGGUGUGGUGGCACACGCCUGUAAUCCCAG